AACGCACCUUGCGCUCCUUGGUAUUCCGAGGAGCAUGCCUGUUCGAGUGUCAUUAAAUUUAUCAAACCUUUUACUUAUUUGUAAAGGAUUUGGAAGUGGGGGUUUUUUUGCUGGCUUUGUAAAGAGUCUGCUCCCUUCAAAUUCAUUAGCUGUGUUACAUAUGAGUGUUAGUUGGUGUGAUAAUUAUCUACGCCGCUAUAUACACUACUAUGUAUUGCUUCAAAUGGUCCUUUAUUGGUGGACAUUUGACCUCGAAUCAGGUAGGAUUACCCGCUGAACUUAA
RNAcentral lists this unclassified non-coding RNA (283 nucleotides) under uncultured fungus. Its description in RNAcentral is "sequence contains ITS2". The stretch from base 1 to 52 matches the Rfam family "5.8S ribosomal RNA", at positions 103 to 154 of the family's 154-position model. Lineage: Eukaryota; Fungi. The record is from RNAcentral.